RNAcentral lists this unclassified non-coding RNA (243 nucleotides) under Hevea brasiliensis (rubber tree). The record is from RNAcentral. Lineage: Eukaryota; Viridiplantae; Streptophyta; Magnoliopsida; Malpighiales; Euphorbiaceae.
UUAGUCUAUAAAUACCUAUGUAAUCUAAGUAUUUUCCUAUAGACCAUUAUUAUUCACAAUCAAGAAUUAAUCAAAAUUUAGAGAGUUCUGAUCUUUUCCCUUUGAUUAUUUUAUUGGAUCUACAUCACAAGGACAUAACACUUUCCAGAAACAUGCAUUACUUGAAUUUGUCUCCACAAACAAAGGGGCUAAAUUUCACCCACUGUCCUUCAACUUUGAGUGUUAUUUCAGUAAUAUUCUUCA